CCAUGGGCUGACGCCCAUGGCUACAUCAUAUCGCCACUUCGUGGCU
This is a small RNA of Rhodopirellula maiorica SM1, 46 nucleotides long. It matches the Rfam family "Acido-Lenti-1 RNA". NCBI's taxonomy places the organism in Bacteria, Pseudomonadati, Planctomycetota, Planctomycetia, Pirellulales, Pirellulaceae. The record is from Rfam.